This 288-nucleotide long non-coding RNA is filed under the name Ictidomys tridecemlineatus (thirteen-lined ground squirrel). RNAcentral's name for it is "lncRNA (ENSSTOG00000033256.1)". Lineage: Eukaryota; Metazoa; Chordata; Mammalia; Rodentia; Sciuridae. The record is from RNAcentral.
AGAUCAUUCUCGAUAGGGGAGGUGAAGCUUGAAUAUUUUUGAAGAAUAACUCUGUGCUUAUCAGGUUGAAAGGAUAUGAAAGAAUAUUCCUGGCUGAGGGAGGAAUGUAAACUAUGGAAGAAGGAAUCCGGUCUGUACCAGACACCCUAAAGGAAUGGCAUGUUUAUGCCUGCAGAGGUGGGAGAGUCCACAGAUAAAGACGUCAGAGGCCAAGGAAGGAAGGCCCAUGCUGCCAGGCUGAGGAGUUCAAAGGAUUCCCAAGGAGGUCAGUCAACUUUCUACAGAUGA